RNAcentral lists this ribosomal RNA (460 nucleotides) under uncultured bacterium. Its description in RNAcentral is "partial 16S ribosomal RNA". It matches the Rfam family "Bacterial small subunit ribosomal RNA", at positions 338 to 795 of the family's 1533-position model. The record is from RNAcentral.
CCUACGGGUGGCAGCAGUGAGGAAUAUUGGUCAAUGGACGCAAGUCUGAACCAGCCAUGCCGCGUGCAGGAAGACGGCUCUAUGGGUUGUAAACUGCUUUUAUACGAGGGUAAACGCAGAUCCGUGUAUCUGUCUGCAAGUACCGUACGAAUAAGGAUCGGCUAACUCCGUGCCCGCAGCCGCGGUAAUACGGAGGAUUCAAGCGUUAUCCGGAUUUAUUGGGUUUAAAGGGUGCGUAGGCGGUCGGAUAAGUUAGAGGUGAAAUCUCGAGGCUCAACUUCGGAAUUGCCUCUGAUACUGGUCGGCUAGAGAGUAGUUGAGGUAGGCGGAAUGCAUGGUGUAGCGGUGAAAUGCUUAGAUAUCAUACAGAACCCCGAUUGCGAAGGCAGCUUACCAAGCUAUGUCUGACGUUGAGGCUCGAAAGCGUGGGGAGCAAACAGGAUUAGAUACCCGGGUAGUC